Molecule: ribosomal RNA, 406 nt
Filed under: Henicops tropicanus
Lineage: Eukaryota; Metazoa; Arthropoda; Chilopoda; Lithobiomorpha; Henicopidae
Description: partial 16S ribosomal RNA
Rfam family: Bacterial large subunit ribosomal RNA
Source: RNAcentral
UUAAAUGGCCGCGGUAUUUUGACCGUGCGAAGGUAGCAUAAUCAUUAGUCUAUUAAUUAUAGACUGGUAUGAAAGGCUAAAUGAUAAUAAGCUGUCUUUUUUAAUAAAAUGAAUUUUAGUUUUAUGUGAAGACGCAUAAAUUAAAUUAAGGGACGAGAAGACCCUAUCAAGCUUUACAUGUAAAUUCUAGAUAAGAAAAUUAGAAGGAAAUGUUAUGUUGGGGCGACAGUAAAUUAUAACUUUUACUAAAUAAAAAUAAUUUAAUUAUAUUAUAUUUGGUCCAAAAAUCUGAGUAUAAGAAUAAGUUACUGUAGGGAUAACAGCGUAAUCUUAUUGGAGAGUUCAUAUUGAUAAUAAGGAUUGCGACCUCGAUGUUGAAUUAGGAUACCCUUAAGGUGCAGAAGUU